GAAUUCAUGAAAUUAGUUUUUAAAAAGGCAUGCACGUAAGCUCUACCUUGAAUGAAAAUGAAUCAAAAUAUAGCAAGUAAAAUUCUAAUAUAAGAAUGGUGGCUAGCCGAUGUGCAUGUUGACUUGCUUUCAAAAAAGCUUUCAGUUCUGAGAAAUCUUUUGCACCCUUCUUGAUUUGUUAAUUAAAUAUAAAUUGUUUGACUCUUCAGAUGUCAUAGGUGAUAGUAAAAUGUAAAAUAAUAGAUGAUACAGCUUGGGAAAACUCAAAACUGAAAGCAGCAGUGAUUUAAUAGAAAUUAAGCAAGCAGUAAAGCUGUGCUGCACCACAUUAUGGUCAAGUAGUUCAUACGUCAUUUUUUAUUUGGCCAUGAGAGGCAACUGAAAGUGAGUAUUUGCAUAAAAGUUUCUGUUUAUGUAGCUGGCCCUUAUUCUCUUUGCCCAUGUAAUUUUAUCUGGUCCUUGAUUAGGUAUGUAUACUGGUGCAGACUAUAAACAUGAUUCCAAAUACUGUGCCACUUACUUCUGGUUUCACCAGCACCAUGGAAAAUGUGUAACUACCUUCAAAAAGUUACAGGUUUUGACUUCUCUUGAAGUCAUCCAAAGUGCAUUUGUAGAAUCUAGACUCUUACGACUUCUCUGUAUUAUCAACAGCACCUCUGUGGUUUCUCUGUAUUGUACUAUAAAUGUUCAACUCCUGCGCCUGCCUGGAAUGUGUGGAAUGCUAGUCCACUUAGUGGAGAAUCAUCUAAGUCCAGUGAAUUAAAAUACACACCAGGGUCUCCAACAAGUGAAAUGCACAUGCAGGUGCAAGUUGUCCUCAACUACCUGACAGUGGUCACCAAGGAGAGAGAAAACAAAGUGCUAACCGUAUCUUGGAAAUGGGGAAGUUAAGAGUGUAUUAGAUUAAAGUUCUUUGCCCAUCUUAACAGGCAAAUGACUUUCCAAACUGACAGGGCUGAUUAGCUGGCACUGUGUUCUUAAAACCAGGAGCAAUGCACAACCUCAACAACUACUUGCCACCCUCUCUUGUCCAUAUAUUAUAGGGCUGUGCAGCACUUCAGAUUCAAUUUCAAAAAAUGCUUGAGAAUGCACAGGGGAAAGGAACAUGACCCUUGACUGCAACUCCUUAAAGCAGCUGUACCCUGUAUCAUGUGACAGGUGUGUGAUUUCUUGGAAAAGAUGCAGGUGCAUUAAGGUGUGCCAAGGUGCAAUCUGCUGUGCAUUCUGUAGCACCUUAUAGGAAGAAAGCCAUGUUAGUCUAUGGUAAUAAAAAGUCCGGAGGGCUCUAGAAGAACCUUUUCUGACUCACAUUUUAUUAAAAGACGUAGGCACUUGCAAGCUGCAGCUCACUUCUGAUGCACAGAGUGGCUAGAUUGAUACAGAAUUUAAAUUGGGGCAAGGUGGUGGGAACGGGGGAAAGACAGGUUGGUUAUGCAGAUGCAGCUUUAUCCCACAGGUUACCUAUGCAUCUGGUGGAGUGAGCUGCAACUCACAAAAGCGUAUGACUUUUAAUAAAAUGUAUUGGAAAAGGUGUUACCAGAGGCCUCCUGAUUUUUUAAAGCAUCUUUUGGAAUUGUGUCUGAAGCACUGCAGAUGUCUACAGUUACAGAUGCAGCAGGGGAGACACAUGUGGAAGUCUGUUGCUUUACAUGCUUAGCUCUUGAUAAAUCAAGCAUCGCUUUGGUAGCUCUAUAGGAGGGAGAUUCCUUGUUUGAUAAUGUUGGUCAAUAACUUCCUUGAUUUGAUUUGUUACCUUAAUUUCAAAUAGAAAUGACAAUGUUGUUAAUAGGAAUUUGAUCUGUAUAUUUGCAUGUUGCCUGCAAAAUCUGAUCUAUUGAAAGAGGAAAGGAAAUGGAUUAACAGCUAGCAUUAUGCUGCUCAGAUUGAUACCGUGCAAAAUGCCAGAAAUUCUUUCUGUUCCAACCACAGUGAUGCCGAUAGACAGCGUUUGGCACAAACUUCUUGAUUAAGAGUUUGCCAGUAAUCUUGUCUGUGUGUCAUAGGAUCCUGUAUAUAAAUUUGACCAUAUUUUAAAUGGGAAUAAUUACCAGAAGUAUCUUUCAGCACAAACUGGCUUGUGUUGGUUGCCCACAUGGACCCAGCAUAAUGUGCCUAGACGUCAUCUCUCUCUAUUCACCAAAGCAUAUUUUCUUUUUAAAAUGAAACCUUUUGCUCAUGCUUCUGUACCUGGAGCGCUCCAGCGUUAAUACAAAAUUCUUCUGUAGACUUCAUCCAUGGUUGGGAUCUUGGGAGUUCCAUGCAUGCACCUUAUGUUGGAGGACUCCUUUGUUCUUUCCUUAGAUUGGGGCAGAUGCUGCUCUUUAGAAUACUCUAAUUUGAGGAGUGGCUUUUUCUUAGGGGUGGGUGUAUGGAAAUGAGCUGCUGUAGGAAGGGGGGCUUCGAAAAGUCCUAGUGCAUGAGCAGCAGCAACUGUGCUGCCCUUUUGCAUCCCUUGUCCUCCCCCCAUCCCUCAAUUUCUUAAAAGGCUUGGCUGGCCCAGUGCCUUGAGAUGUGUACACAUCCAUAUGUGUUAACUGAGAGCAUGGAAGCACAAUGAGCUUGCUGCCAUGGCUUAAGGCAAACUUAUUAUAAGCCUAGUACAUAUUUUUAAAAUUCUGUGAAUUAUAACGUAAACAGUAAAUGACACGAUAUUGGCACUGUGUGGCCCAAACCCAAGCUUUCUUUUUUCCGCAGACAUUUAUCUAUCUAUAUAGAUACCUAUAUCUAAAAACUAAAUCAAAUAAUGCCCAUUUGGUUUUCCAGUUCACUGCAGGUUUUGUGCCUUGACAGCCCCACUGUGAACUUAGUAGACUUGUGGGUUUUUAAAAUCUUGAUAUAAUUUAACAUAUAUAACCUUUUUGUCUAUUAGAGGAUUUUAAAAAAAUAAAAUUUCCUUUUAAAUAGUCCUGCCAAAACAUUUUUAUGAAGAAUUUUCUUUGGUUGUGGAGAAACCAGAUAUAAAUUUCUUCCCAGAGAAUUACUAAGACUUUCAAUGCUUUUAUUUUCUUUCAAUGAUUGUAAAUAUUUGAGUAUUUAUUAGAUUAGAGCAGUUCUUCUCAUCUGAGCCAAAUGUUACCUGUGUGCAAUGUUUCCUCUUUUCUUACUAUUUCAUGUAAGAUUUUUUUUUUGUAUAGCAGCAGAAAUUUCUCUAAACUUCUUUUUGUAAAAUUGAACUUGUUAAAUACUGUAGGUUCCCCCUUUCUUUGUACUUAAUGCACUCUACUGUUUCAUAAUGCUGUAACUUGUAGAAACGUUGUAUAUUUAUUUUCUGCUUAUUUAAGUUCUUGUAAAGUCUUUUUUUCCUUUAAAUUUUACUUAGCAUAUAUGAAAAUAGUGAUUGAUCAGUUUAGAGCACUGUCUACUAGUUUGGGAUAGUUGGCCCUAUUUUAGAUGAUAUUAACCCCCCUACUUUCUCUCAUUGCUCUUGCCUCCUCCUCUGGCUUGUUACAGGGUUCAAGCAUGAAGUGCAAGCAGAGAGUAGAAUUCCACGGUGUCAUUAGGAAAGCCCCAUACCCAAGGGCCACAUACAGCAUCUCACUUGAAGUUUUGAAACAUUUGUUCUACAUAACUUUUUUGUGGGGACUGAUGGUGGCUUUCAAAGAAAUUUUGACUAAAGCAACAUGCAGUGCUCUGAAUUAGUCUUCAAAAAUGAUAGGAUGUGACCUAAGAACUCGCAUGGGCAUCUUGUGUGUUCAGUCAGAAUUCAGUUGACCCCAACAACCCACCACAAAAAUCAGUAUCUGUAGAAAAUUCAUGAAAUGCCAGAUAACCUUUUUGGUGCUUCCUGUUUCUUCCUUGAAUUGUGCUAAUUAUUAAGGGCUGUUAAUACUGCAUCCCUUGACCUCAGUUUAUGUAGCACAGGAUAUGGCUGUUACCUCAUGAUCAAGAAGUACCUGCAAUUUAUUCAAGAACUACUAAAUUUUUAGGGGAUGAGUGAAAUUUUGCACCCUGGUUUAAAGACCACUAGUUACUGUAUGACAGACCUCGUCAUCGAGUACAAACAUCAACGUAGCACUGAUCUUGUACUGAUUAAUCACUAAUUGGUUUCAUAGAACCCAGCAUAUGUAGCAUUUUUAUUGCAGUUUCCCUGGCUUACUUGUGUUUUGCACUGAUGAAAAUUUGACAGGGUAAUUGCCACUUUACUUGUGCAAUACUGCUGUAAAUAACUGCAGAUCCUUUUUUUUUAAGAUGCAAUCCUUUAUGUUCUUAAUAAUGGAUUUUAUAUGAAUAAAACUUUCAACUAUU
This is a long non-coding RNA of Candoia aspera, 4245 nucleotides long. RefSeq lists it as uncharacterized. The transcript is spliced from 2 exons. NCBI's taxonomy places the organism in Eukaryota, Metazoa, Chordata, Lepidosauria, Squamata, Candoiidae. The record is from RefSeq and is a predicted model, not a curated record.